GAUGAAGAACGUAGCGAAAUGCGAUACUUGGUGUGAAUUGCAGAAUCCCGUGAACCAUCGAGUCUUUGAACGCAAGUUGCGCCCGAAGCCACUAGGCCGAGGGCACGCCUGCCUGGGCGUCACACGCCGUUGCCCCCCCAUCUACUCCUUCGGGAUUGCGGGGGGGCGGAUGAUGGCCUCCCGUGCGCCUAGCCGCGCGGUUGGCAUAAAUACCAAGUCCUCGGCGACGCACGCCACGACAAUCGGUGGUUGCGAAACCUCGGUUGCCCGUCGUGUGCGUUCGUCGCGCAUCGAGGGCUCGAAAAAAUGCUCGGCUCCGGCUGGGCUUUCAACGCGACCCCAGGUCAGGCAGGGUUACCCGCUGAAUUUAAGCAUAUCAAUAAGCGGAGGA
Molecule: unclassified non-coding RNA, 391 nt
Filed under: soil metagenome
Description: partial contains 5.8S ribosomal RNA, internal transcribed spacer 2, and large subunit ribosomal RNA
Rfam family: 5.8S ribosomal RNA (bases 1-122)
Source: RNAcentral